RNAcentral lists this ribosomal RNA (794 nucleotides) under uncultured Thermococcus sp. RNAcentral's name for it is "bacterial SSU rRNA". It matches the Rfam family "Archaeal small subunit ribosomal RNA", at positions 85 to 876 of the family's 1478-position model. The record is from RNAcentral. Lineage: Archaea; Methanobacteriati; Methanobacteriota; Thermococci; Thermococcales; Thermococcaceae.
ACGGCUCAGUAACACGUCGGUGACCUACCCUCGGGAGGGGGAUAACCCCGGGAAACUGGGGCUAAUUCCCCAUAGGCCUGAGGUACUGGAAGGUCCUCAGGCCGAAAGGGACUUAUGUCCGCCCGAGGAUGGGCCGGCGGCCGAUUAGGUAGUUGGUGGGGUAAUGGCCCACCAAGCCGAAGAUCGGUACGGGCUGUGAGAGCAGGAGCCCGGAGAUGGACACUGAGACACGGGUCCAGGCCCUACGGGGCGCAGCAGGCGCGAAACCUCCGCAAUGCGGGAAACCGCGACGGGGGGACCCCGAGUGCCGUGGCAACGCCACGGCUUUUCCGGAGUGUAAAAAGCUCCGGGAAUAAGGGCUGGGCAAGGCCGGUGGCAGCCGCCGCGGUAAUACCGGCGGCCCGAGUGGUGGCCGCUAUUAUUGGGCCUAAAGCGUCCGUAGCCGGGCCCGUAAGUCCCUGGCGAAAUCCCACGGCUCAACCGUGGGGCUUGCUGGGGAUACUGCGGGUCUUGGGACCGGGAGAGGCGGGGGGUACCCCUGGGGUAGGGGUGAAAUCCUAUAAUCCCAGGGGGACCGCCAGUGGCGAAGGCGCCCCGUUGGAACGGGUCCGACGGUGAGGGACGAAGGCCAGGGGAGCAAACCGGAUUAGAUACCCGGGUAGUCCUGGCUGUAAAGGAUGCGGGCUAGGUGUCGGGUGAGCCUCGAGCUCGCCCGGUGCCGUAGGGAAGCCGUUAAGUCCGCCGCCUGGGGAGUACGGCCGCAAGGCUGAAACUUAAAGGAAUUGGCGGGGGAG